AUUGAACGCUGGCGGCAUGCCUUACACAUGCAAGUCGAACGGCAGCACGGGAGCAAUCCUGGUGGCGAGUGGCGAACGGGUGAGUAAAGUACCGGAACGUGCCCAGUCGUGGGGGAUAACGUAGCGAAAGUUACGCUAAUACCGCAUACGAGCUAUGGAUGAAAGCGGGGGAUCGCAAGACCUCGCGCGAUUGGAGCCGCCGAUAUCAGAUUACGUAGUUGGUGGGGUAAAGGCCCACCAAGCCGACGAUCUGUAGCUGUGUCUGAGAGGACGACCAGCCACACUGGGACUGAGACACGGCCCAGACUCCUACGGGAGGCAGCAGUGGGGAAUUUUGGACAAUGGGCGAAAGCCUGAUCCAGCCAUGCCGCGUGCAGGAUGAAGGCCUUCGGGUUGUAAACUGCUUUUGUACGGAACGAAAAGGACUGCCCUAAUACGGUGGUCCCAUGACGGUACCGUAAGAAUAAGCACCGGCUAACUACGUGCCAGCCGCCGCCGUAA
RNAcentral lists this ribosomal RNA (501 nucleotides) under uncultured bacterium. RNAcentral describes it as "partial 16S ribosomal RNA". It matches the Rfam family "Bacterial small subunit ribosomal RNA", at positions 30 to 523 of the family's 1533-position model. The record is from RNAcentral.